Molecule: long non-coding RNA, 21231 nt
Filed under: Medicago truncatula (barrel medic)
Lineage: Eukaryota; Viridiplantae; Streptophyta; Magnoliopsida; Fabales; Fabaceae
Description: long non-coding RNA (MTRU_LNC000597)
Source: RNAcentral
AUAGCCUCUUGUGUAAAAAACAAGGUAAGGUUGCGUACAAUACACCUAUUGGUGGGACCCUUUCCCAGACUCUGUGUAUGCAGGAGCUUUAGUGCACCGGGCUGCCAAAUGCCAAAUACAAAUUUGAGUGAAAAUAAAAAUAAAAACUCAAGGGUUUAUAGAAAUGGUUACCUCGCACGAGGUGUAACCGCUGGAAUUUUACAUGGCUUAAUGAUUUCUAGUAGCUUGAUGUUUAUGUUAAAGUUUGAUUUUAAAUUUGUUAGUUUGCUUAACUUUUAUCCAUUGUUUAAAAAUGAAUAUUAACAAUUCAACAUUGAAUAUCUAGAAGCAAGUCAUAAGGUUUAAACCAUGAAGUGGUAUGUAAAUGACUUUACUGAAAUUCUUCUAUAGUCUUCUUCUUCUUCCUCCUUUUCUUCUGUAAAUUUUGUUAUUUAUAUUGGAAAUCAAUAUUUUGUAUUACUCAUGAAAAAGCGUGCAUGCUAAAAUUGGUUUGCAUUGGAUGUUGACCUUUUGCUGUGUACAAGUCCUUGUUUCUCGUUAAAAGGUUGAGACUGGAGUAAUUAAAAAGAACUUCACAUAUACUAAUGAAGUAUUUAUAUUUUAAUUGGUUUCAUAGAUGCUAAGAAGCCCAAAGAAAAAAUUAUAAAAUACCCAGCCAGGAACAUCAAAUUAUUCUGAGCCUGAGAGUAAUCAUAUGCAAAUGUCGAUCGUUGAAUACAGUGUCACUAAUGAUAUAUUUGAUAGUGGAAAUGUUAUAACUUAUUAUUAUUCAUGACAUUUUAGAAGUGAAAAUAUGUAUAGAAGGGGUUUUUUCUUUAGCUGGUGUUUCACGCAUGGUUGCAUAGCCUUGUUUGCCUGAGUUGUUUGUUAUUAUACUGCAUCGUCUUCAGCGGGCUAUGAAAAUUAAAAUAUACUAUUUCAAUCUAUUGAUCGGUAGCUUUGUAUUUAUUUUUUUGCAUGAUAUGCGCAGCAGAAGAAAAUCCAAAUCAAUCCAGAUUGCUAGUAAUUUCCUCAGACAUCGCAAUUUGUCUGGUAGCUCUCUUCAAUUUAGAGAAGGUUCAUACUGUCCAAAGCGAAUAUCUUUUGGGUUGAAAAAAUGCAAUGACAUGGAGUAUCAUCGUAAUUCUCCAGUACAUAUUUCAGUUAUGAAAUUUUCAACUGCAUCAUUUAGCACGUUGAAGGUAACAAAUCAAACAAGACGGGAAGAAGAGCUGAGCUCUUUGAGUUCUUACGACAGACAAGUUAGGAUGAUGACACAUUUUGGUUCUUGCAGUUACAGAUUAUCCAAAACACCUCGUAGAAAGUUAUCUGGUGAUAGAACCGGAUGGGCUGAGGCUGGGCAUAAAUUGACUCAGAUAAAAAUGGAAAUGCAUGAUCUGGACAAACGUAGUUUGUAUCCAUCCAAUACAAAUACAAUUGCUUCUUCUAUUGCUCAGAAACCAGCUAUUACUCAAAACGAAGGGCACAAUCUUAUGCUGCAUGAUCUAUGUGAACCUGCCUCAUCUUCUGUUCAACAUUCUAUGUUAAACAACUCAAUGUUAUUGAUAGACACCGAAAGAGUUGGUACCGAGUCAAAUGUAUCUUCAUUAAAGACCGGUGAAGAGAAAAUUGAUGGUGUUGAUGGCACCGAGUCAAAUGUGUCUUCAUUAAAGACCAGUGAAGAGAAAAUUGACAAUGUUGAUGGCAAUCACAGUUUGGCUGCUGCUGCAAAAGACGCAACUAAGGCAAAAAUUACUGUUACAAUGACACGCAGUGAUGAACAAUCAAAACUUCGGGAAAGGCUCUGUAGUAUCUAUGAAGACAUACUGGUUGUUAAUAAUAUUUCUCAUGCAGAGCAAGUAGCUAAGAUGCUUACAGUAAAUUACAGGCAUCUUAUUCAUGCAUGUGAUACCGAGGUAUUAUUAUUGACCGUGUUAACUUUUAUUAUGAUUGUGCCCUAAUUGCAACACUGUACACGACUAGAUUCUUUUUCCAAUAUGCAUAUACUUUGGACAUGAGGUCAAUGGAUGUAUCCUUUAGUCUUUUUUUAACUAAUACAAAUUGAGUCUUUUCAAUUAAAGUUGUGCCACUAUGAAUCUCUUGGCUACUUGUAUUUUACGAUGUUGAGCAUGUGAUAUGUGCCGAUUUUGAUUGACUUGAAAGGUAUCCAAGAUAGAUGUCAAACAAGAAACGCCUAUAGAUCAUGGGGAGAUAAUAUGUUUCAGUAUUUAUUCGGGUCCAGAAGCUGAUUUUGGAGGUGGGAAAUCAUGUAUCUGGGUGGAUGUUCUUGACGGUGGAGGCAAAGAGAUAUUGAAUAAGUUUGCCGAUUUUUUUCAAGAUCCAUCGAUAAAAAAGGUGGCUUCUCUUUCUUUUCAUUCUUCCUUUUAUGGUUUUAGUCUUAUUACUCAUCUUUAUGUUCAGAACCUCUUAAGAGUUUGUUUGAUUAUAUUUUGGUAGAAUUGAUUUAAACAGUUUUGAUGUUAAUUUUUUUUUGCAUUUGGGUAUGCUGUUUUAAAAGCGAGUUUAGAAGAAUUGCUUUUGUUUUUUAAGGUAAAAUUAGUAGUUUGACUCAUGUUGUUGUGUCAUAUUAGUAGUUUAUUGCAAAUUGUCAUAUUCAAGUUAGUAGUCUUAGUGUUUAAAUUAAUAUAGUUACCUGGUAGCAAAUUGUUAGGCGUUUUAGGCACAGAACAAAACAUUUGCAUCAUAUUGAAGGAGUAAUAUUUGAUAUAUGUGAUUGUUAAUAUUAAAGGAGUAAUAUUUGAUAUAUGUGAUUGUUAAUAUUAAAGGAGUAAUAUUUGAUAUAUGUGAUUGUUAAGGGCCAAUUGAUAUUCUUAUUUCAUUGCCUAGUAAUGUAAACAGGAAAAGCCCCACCUUUUCACGGUAUCACUUACAGUCUCUACCCAACUUUAUUACAUGAACCUAUAUAUUCUCUCUUAUGUAAUAGUGUUUGAACUUUUAACCAUAUGGGUAAUAGUUGGGCUGUGUUUUAUGCCUUGCAAGCAUAUCAAAUUGAGAUUCAAAUCGUGAAUCAGAAAACCAGUUUUCGAAUCGUUAAUCAAAUCUUGUUAUUAAUAGCUAGAUACAUUAUCAAUAAAAAUAUAACAUUUUUAUGCAAAAUCAAGUGACAUACACAAAAGCAGAAGCUAAUAUAUCAUAUGCUUACCUCAAAUUAAUUUAAGAUUCAAGUAAUAACAUGACAGAAAAGUGCUUGGCUACACAAAAUUGUGGUUGUACAAAGUUCAAGGGAAAGUUGCGCAGAGAUUCAUAUUGAUUGUGUUUUGUUACUAAUUGAGAUACGACUCUCAACUUAGUUAAAUAACUGUUUGCCGUUUCCAGCUUUAUAAUAUACAGGAGGACACUUUUAGUGAAGUACUUGUCAGUCAUGUCAUUCCACAAUCGGUGACAAAAUAAUGGCCUGCAUGUUUGUACUUUUCUAAAUUCGAAAUUAUUAUUAUAUUUUUUACAUAAAAAUGUUUGAAUUUGAGAGAGGGGGGGGACCAAAGAAAAAUAGCUUUGGUGUUCUUCUUGAUAUCUUAAAAAAGGACUGUAAUAGUUCUUAACUAAAAGAUUAUCCAGUUGUAUAAUUCUAGCUUCAUAAAUUGAUAGCGCCAUUUUAUUACUGGGUUUAUGUGACAUAGAUUUGAAAAUGAUAUUUGAAGUAAUAAAGUUACUGGUGCACUUUGUAGGUUUGGCAUAACUAUAGCUUUGAUUGUCAUGUUAUACAAAAUUAUGGAUUUAACGUUUCUGGAUUUCAUGCUGAUACAAUGCACAUGGCACGACUAUGGGAUUCAUCAAGACGUUUGGUUGGUGGUUAUUCUCUUGAAGCACUUAGUGGUGACAAAGAAGUCAUGUCUAGGGGUAAUCUGAACCAUGAAACGGAUUUGAUUGGUAAGGUGUCGAUGACAACCUUAUUUGGUCAGAGAAAGGAGAAGAAAGAUGGAUCUAUGGGUAAAAUCGUUACCAUUGAGCCUGUUGAAGUACUGCAAAGAGAAGAGCGUAUACCUUGGAUAUGUUACUCUGCUUUAGAUGCCAGAAGCACUCUGAAGCUUUAUGAGAGCCUAAAAAGUCAUCUGUCAGAUUUACCUUGGAAACUUGAUGGAGAACUUUUACGCGAAAACAUGUUUGAUUUUUACGAGAUAUAUUUGCAGCCAUUUGGUGAACUUCUUGUCAAAAUGGAAUGUGAGGGUAUGCUAGUUGAUCGGUUAUAUCUUCAAGAAAUAGAAAAGGUGGCCAAAGCAGAGCAACAGGCAGCUCUUAAUAGAUUCCGAAAAUGGGCAUCUAGGUAUUGUCCUGAUGCCAAGUAUAUGAAUGUUGGAAGCGAUACACAGUUGCGUGUACUGCUUUUUGGUGGCACUGUGAACAGGUGCACAUUAUUUAAAUCUUUUGUGGAGCUUUUGCUUCAAUCUUAAUUAAUUGAUAAUUUGAUAGAAAAGUUACAAUUCUAUUUAUGUAAUUGUUCUUAGUUGUUUAUAAUGAAGUGGUUCACGUAAAUCAUUUUUCCUGCCCUGUUAUACAGAAAAAACCACAAUGAGGCAAUUCCAACGGAGCGGAUUUUCAAAGUUCCGAAUGUUGAUAAAGUGAUUGAAAAAGGAAAAAAGAUUCCCUCAAAAUUACGUGAUAUUAAGUUGAAUAGCAUUGGAUGUAACCUGAAUGUUGACAUUUACACACCUAGUGGCUGGCCCUCAUGUAGUGGUCCCGCUUUAAAGGCGCUGGCUGGCAAAGUUUCUGCUGAGUAUGACUUUGAUCUUGAGGAUGAAGAUGGUAAUCCUUCUCAAAGGGAAGAUGAGCCUUUAGAAAUAGAUAAUUCUGCUUAUGGAACAGCCUAUUUUGCUUUUCCAACAGAGGAAGAAGGGAGAGAAGCUUGUCAUGCAAUUGCUGCUUUAUGUGAAAUCUGCUCAAUUGACUCUUUGAUCUCUAAUUUUAUCCUUCCCCUGCAGGUAAUUAUUCUUUUUUCUCUCCAAUAAGUUUAUUCUGGACUUUUUCACUGGUCUGGUUGUGUUCAUGGAUUUUCAUGUCGCUCCUAUAAACUUUGCUUAUACAGUGCGACUGGCAUUUAUAGUGUUUUUUGUCAAAGCAUUUAAAACAUUGUCAAGGUUAGUUUAUAAUGAGGGUUUUUUAUGUCUGCUUUGUGGUAGCUUAAUACGUUUCAAUUCAAUGACAGGGACAUAAUAUAUCUGGGAAGGAUCAGCGUGUUCAUUGUUCCAUAAAUAUCAACACAGAGACUGGACGCUUGUCAGCAAGACGACCAAAUCUGCAGGUUCUUCCAACUCCCAUUUCUUUCAAAUUCCAUACUGGUUGUUGAGUUACUUAAUUUUUUUAAAAUGCCAUGCAUGUUUCUGUCCUUCUGUUUGUCUGUGUAUACGUAUUUUUUUAUAUGAGGGGGUAAGGUUGAUACAAAGUUAUUCCUAUGACCUCACGUAAUAGUUUAACCUUUUAGAAGAGUUGGUUCAUGACAAUGCUAAAUUAAAACGAUAGAUUGUUUAUGUUAGAGCUAUCAAGGAUAUGUAUGAGGGAGCUUCGACUAGUAUGAGGACACAGGAUCAACCUUCAGUCCUUACAUUUUUACUUUAGUUUUGGAUGUGACGGAACACAUCCAAGAGUUAGCACCAAGAUGUAUGCUUUUUGCAGAUGAUGCAGUCCUGCUUGGAGAGUUGAGGGAGGAAUUGAAUGGGAGAUUAGAGACUUAGAGACAAGCCUUAGAAGUGUAUGGCAUCCGCCUUAGUAGAAGCAAGACAGAGUAUAUGGAAUGUAACUUCAGCAAAAGGCAGAGUAGUCCUACCUUGGAGGUGAAAGUUGGAGAUCAUAUCAUACCCCAAGUUACAUGGUUUAAAUAUCUUCCAUAGUACAAAAUAACAGAGAAAUAAGAGCAGAUGUAAAUCAUCGUAUCUUGAGAUGAUGAUGUUGUGUUGGAUGAGUGGUAAGACUAGACGGGAUACGAUUAGAAGUGAAAUCAUUAGAGAGAGAGUUGGGGGCAGCACCUAUAGUAGAAAAGAUGGUAGAAAAUAGGUUUAGGUGGUUUGAGCAUGCAGAGAGAAGACCUGUAGAUGUUGUAGUAAGAAGAGUAGAUCAGAUGGAGGAGAGUUAGAUCAAAAAGGUUGAGGAAGACCUAGAAAAACUAUUAGGAAAUAUUUAGAGAUUAAUGAGUUGGAUCUCAAUAUGGUUUAUGAUAAAACAUUAUGGUAUAAUUUGAUCCAUGUAGCGACCCCACUUAGUGGGAUAAGGCUUGGCUGCUGGUUUGGUUACUGCAUUAAAAAAUCUUUUACUUAAAUCUGUUUUUGUGCCAAUCAAAGUUUCCUUCCCCAUACAGAAAACAUUAUAACGUACAUUUUGGAUUUGGAGGGGGGGAUUUUCAGAAAUUUUUGCUUUGAACUUUCAAAUAGAAGCAUGUAUUACAUUUUCUCAUCAGAUGUAUACUUGGACCACAUUAAUCAUUGUAUUUCAAAAAGUUGCAGAUUUAAUCUAACCUGUAUGAUUCAUAUAUCAGAAUCAACCAGCUUUGGAAAAGGACCGAUACAAAAUCCGUCAAGCAUUCGUAGCUGCUCCUGGAAAUUCUCUUAUAGUUGCGGAUUAUGGGCAGGUUUUUUAGUUUACUUAUCUGUCUAAUUGAGCUAGUUUCUUUGUAUUUCAUUCAUGGUUGAUGGAGUUAUUAUGUAUCGUAACAGUUGGAGCUUAGGAUACUUGCACAUCUUACUGAUUGUAAGAGCAUGUUGGAAGCCUUUGAAGCUGGUGGAGAUUUCCACUCCAGAACUGCAAUGAAUAUGUACCCAUAUAUUCGUGAAGCAGUUGAAAAAAAGGAAGUUCUUCUUGAAUGGCAUCCUCAGCCUGGUGAAGACAAACCCCCUGUUCCUCUCCUCAAGGUAAAUUUACUUCUCAUCAACAUAUCUUAAGAUGGUAAUAACCUUGCAUUCCGUGCACAAUUAGAACUCGUUUUGGUACACCUCGAACAUAGUUCUCGUUAUUGUAAAUAUUACAAUGACGAUAUUAAAUUGCAGAAAAGUUAUGUUAGCACAAACCAACAUCCGACACCGUAUUUUGGUGCAUUUUGAUUUAUUUAUUUUUAAUUAUUUUUCUGUCCUUUGGUCAAACCACACUAACUCGGGAUGUAUUAAAUUAAUAGGGCUAUAUUAUUUUUAUUAAUUUUUUCUAAGUAAUAUAUUUUACUGAAAGGGAACCAAUGACGUACUAAUGUAAAAGGUGACCUAAAUAUAAACCUUUGAGGAAGAAUUAUAAGAAGCGAAUAUAUUUUGUACAGAGGUUGAAGUUCUUUUUACCAGGAAAUAUGUUGUAUCUAUCUCAACCGCAUAAAAUUGGCCUAAAAAUCUGAAAUAUAAAACCUUUGAGGAGGAAUUAUACGAAGCGGAUAUAUUUUAUAGAGCAGUUGAAGUUCUUUAUCACAAAAUCUGCUGUAUCUAACUCAACCACAUAAAAUUGGCCUAAAAAUCUGUAAUAUAAACGGAGAAUUAUUAGAAGCGGAUGUAUUUUAUAGAGCAGUUGAAGUUUUUGGUCAGAAAAUAUGUUGUAUCUAACUCAACUGCAUCAAAUUGGCUUCUGUGGUGAUGACUGUCUAGGUUUUCAAGCUGCAUUUAGGCCAUUUCUCUAGCCAAUGUGGUACUUGGUUUUUCGAAAUAGAGAGCUUUGUUUAGCAGCUUAGCAUUAUAUAGUACCCUUGAAACCUGAGAUAGGUCUUCUUCUGAGUGUUUAGUAGAAAUUUAUGAGAAAACAAGCACGGUAUUAUAUUUCAUAUCAGUUUAUAUCCUUUUCCUUUCUCAGGAUGCCUUUGCUUCUGAAAGAAGAAAAGCCAAAAUGCUUAACUUCUCAAUUGCAUAUGGAAAGACUCCACAAGGUCUUUCUAAGGAUUGGAAGGUACCAUGAAUUCUAUCAUAUAUCACGAGGUGCUUACAUAGGUUACAAGUCUCUGAAUUUUGAUUUGAUUGUACGAAUAUUUUCUGUCAGGUUUCUGUGAAAGAAGCUAAGAACACAGUUGACCUCUGGUACAAUGAUAGAAAAGAAGUUUUGAAAUGGCAACAGAAACGUAAAAAAGAAGCUUUUGAAUUUGGGUGUGUUUAUACGUUGCUAGGACGAGCCCGGCGAUUUCCCGAGAUAUUCCUAGGUCGUCGUAACUUCUACAAAGGUCACAUUGAGCGUGCUGCUAUUAAUACCCCAGUGCAGGUCCUCUAGUCUUUCAAAUAUACUAAGACUACAUUAUUCCCAUAGAACUUCAUAGCAUUUAGAAAUCAUUUUUUUCCCAUUAUAAUGCAACAGGGAAGUGCAGCUGAUGUUGCCAUGCUUGCCAUGUUAGAAAUAUCCAAAAAUAAACAGUUGAAGGAGCUUGGAUGGAAGUUACUUCUUCAGGUUAAUAUCUGUGCAAAGAUUUUUCUUGUUUAUAAUCUCUAUCCUCACUCUUUGUCAAGUUCCAUUCAACCUCAAUAUUUUCAUCCACUUGAAUUUCAAUUUCAAUACCAGUUAUUUUCCAUUCUUCAUAGUACUCCAUAGUUUAUUAUACAUUGGUUUUUGCUUUGUCAUUUUUUUCUUUUCAACCUCAUUUUCCGAUCUCAAUUGAUAUAUGAAUAUAAUGAGCAUUAAAGCUCUGUUAUCAUGGCUUUUGCCUCUAUAUUCAUAUGAAUGCUUUUUCAUAUGUAAGCGUUUUGGCUAAGAUUUUUGCACAUGACAACAUAGGUUCAUGAUGAAGUCAUAUUGGAAGGACCAACAGAGUCAGCUGAGGUUGCAAAGAAUAUAGUUAUUGACUGCAUGUCAAAACCCUUCAAUGGCCAAAAUAUUCUUAAAGUUGGCCUCACUGUGGAUGCCAAGUGUGCCCAAAACUGGUAUGCCGCAAAAUAAACAUCAAAUCAAAACUGUUGUGCCGCGGUUUGGUGGGGUAGUUUUGCACCCUUGGCUUUAAUACGAAGGUCAUGGAUGAACUUGGUUGCAUACAAAACUGUAUUGUUUCUCUGGUGACUAUAAUCAAAAGAGGUUGUGAUGCAACUUGGGGUGCCUUCUAUUUUUGCAUGGAAAAAGUAAUGUCCUUUUGGUCUCAUGUUAUCCUCUUUCAUUUUUAGAGAGGUUAUGGAAAUGGUUUCAUUGUGAAUUUUGUGUAUAGAAUUUUUAAUUAUGAAGCAGAAGGCCAAAAUCAAUGGUGUCCAAUUAAGCACCGAUACCAAUAUGGACACCGGACACGUCAUUGGCACGUCGACACGGGUGAUAAUUUCAUAAAGUAAUUAAUUAAAUGCCGUUGCACGUGUCAUUGUUGUGUCGUUACUAAAAAUUAGUAUCAGCGUUUGUUAGCUCUACUCUGUUUUUUUCUUCUUGUUUUUAUUUUACAAGCUCAUAGUAUGUUUUGUCUUGUAUAAUGUACCAAUGUGGCUCUAUGCUUUGUGCAACUAUGUAUUAUUUUGUAUAGUUGUAUAUAAAACGAAAAUUUCAAAUUCCAUCUCAUUUGCCAAUGUACAUGACUGGUUGCAAACUCAUUACAUCUCCUGCAUUAUUGAUACUAUUUUAGACGAAUUAACAUUAAGAAAGUUAAUGCUAAACGCAGCUGCAAAGAAAAUGUGCUUGUGAAUGUUGAUAUUUUUUAUUUAUUUUAUAAAGAUAAUAUUGCUGAUAAUUGUGGAGCUCAAAGUAGGUGUUAUUAAGAUUAUCACCAAACCCAGUUAAUGAACAAUAUGCUGGUCUUUUUAUUUUUUUUUUAUUUUUAAGAUUGUAAGAUUCAGUUCAAUUUUUAAUUACAGUAACUAAAUUCUUGAAAUAUUGACAAUUAUUUCACAACGCCUACACAAACGUUACCGUUUAUACCUCAAGAAGAAAAAAAUAGUUAAGAGUUUAUGAUUAAUUAAUGCAUUAACCUUUUCUAAUUCAUCCUUUUUGUAUACACACCGUUUUCCACUAUAUUUCCUUCUAGGCUUAAAUAUGUAUUUGAUUCAUGCAAUUAGGGAUCGUUUAAAAAUUGGUCCCUGUAAUCGCUAAUCCUUGCAAACUAGCCUUGCAAUCAUUAAUCAUUUAAAAUUUCGUCCUUUGACCAAUUUAAUCAUUGCCACGUCACUAAUUUGAUGACGUGGCAAUCACUGGCACACAUGAAAUUCCAAUUUUACCUUUAAGAAGAGGACAAAAUAUUGAAGAAAGAAUUGGAAACCCAGGGGUAAAAUUGGAUUUUCAUGUGGCGUGGCAGUGAUUAAGUGGGGAGAGUGACGAAAUUUUAAAUGAUUAAACAAUACAAGGGUAAAUUGCCAAGAUUAGCGAUUACAGGGACCAAUUUUUAAACGACCCCUAAUUGCAAGGAUCAAAUACAUAUUUAAGCCUUCCUUCUAUUUGUAAGACUAUGAACUUCCUCAUUUUCACAUCCCUUCCAUUGAAACACAAUGUAGUAAGUAUAUAUGGUAGUGUCAUCCAGUACGAUGGGAUAAAAAAGGAUAGAAUCACCUUCAAGUAUAUCCAGCUAGUAUAUAUGAUAAUGUCAUCAUAGGUUUAGUUUGUUAGUUAGAAAAAUGUUUACCAAAAUGUAUCCAAAAAUUUCAUUGCUCUCUUAUGUCAUGAUGUUUGCUUCAUGUAACCAAUCGAUCUGCAAGAUAAAGAGGUUGAUUUGGAAAAUACUCAAUCACCGGUGGACAAGAACAAAAAUACCUUCAGAUUCAAUUUCACACGCCGGUGAUGUUGUGAUAUAGUCCAUAGUUAGAGCUACAAUAAGUAGUUUGAAGGAUAUUCCUGCAAGUGUUGUGAACAUUCUAGAUAGAAGAUUUAAGUGUCCCUAGCUCUAUUCUAAUGGCUACUAAUAUAAUUCUCAAGAAUUUUUAUUAAGACCAUAUUCCAUUUAGUAAAUUAGGAUGGAUUUGCAUCCAAACUUAAAUAUACAAAUUCAAAUAGAAGAACUCCAUAUUUGAAGGAUUGCUUGAUUAAAUACUGAAACAAUGGGGGACUUUAUGAACAAAUAUAUGUCUCUUCACCAAGAAUAAGAAACCAUGUUGGAAAGUUUCGUGAUUAGCACCUCGCUAAAUAAUAAUAUCUCCCAAGUCCCACCUAAUCAAUAAAGAGAAAAUGUGUAUAUGAAACCAUAAGGUUUUUAUUUCUUUAGACAUUACACAGUGCUGUCAAAUUUCUGCCAUAGCAGUAUGGCAUGACAGGUUUUGUGCCACCAUAGUCCACCUUAGGCCACAAUGCCUUGUUUAUAUGGUGGAGUUUUGGUUGGCUCUUGGCCACCAUUAAUGAUAACAUUGUAUACAACUUAAGAGGAAUGACUAAAAUCUUAUGAUAUGGCUUCAUUCAUCAUCUGUUUAAAAGAUAUAGGCAGCAAAUAAUUUAGCCACCAAGGGAAAAUUAUUGAUAUCAAACAUGAACUUAUAGAUGUUAGAAACAAAAGUAUAAACCAUGCAACUUAAUAGUUUCAUCCAUUAAAUCUGCAAUAUCAUCAAGGAAGUACUAAAUGUGAAAUAUGUUACUUUCAUAAGUUAAUCAUUAUAACCAGAAUAAAUUGAGGUUCAAAAUAAUCAAAAUUUCUAUUUUAGAUAAAAAAAAAAUAUGUUUAUGAUUAUAUCCACAUAAUUGAAAUACUCUAAUGCACAAGAUCUUCAUUAAAAGCAAUCCAUAAUUUGCAAUACAUAAAAUAUUUGAAUCGGUAGAUAAAGUGAUAAACGCAACAAAAUCAGUAGCCUAAUUCACUUUGAUAUUUCCAUGAUCAGCAAAAUAUCCCAAGUUCGGUGCCAGUUUAUAUUUAUUAUUACUACCAAUUGAAAGCAACUAUAGCAAGCUGCACAAAAAAGGGGACUACUAGCAACAAACUGAAGUAAACUAUUACACAUAAUUAGCAAAAAAAAUGUGGUUUACAAAUCAAAACGUAUUAUGGCUUAGCUUUGGCUCCAACAAUUUCAACCUUAGAGCCAAAUCUUGCUUGUUUGAGCUUCACAACCUCUCUUUCGAGUUUCUCAAUCCUGUUUUCAACAUCAAAUGCAAUGUCUAAGAUCGAAGGACCAACACUUUCCUCUUUCUCACCAUUUCCAUCACAAAAUAGACUAUUUAUUUCAUCUUCAUCAAGCACAUCUGAUGAUGUAAAAUCACCAAAUUCAGAACUACACAAAGCCUUACCAUUUCCAACUACUUCAUCAUCAGAACUUGAUAGUUCAUAAACUAUGUGAUCCUCUUUAUCAGAAGCUUCCUUUUGAUGUUUCUCAAGCUUUGAAGUAAAAUCAGGUAGAGUUAGGCCAUCAGAUUUUUCAACCUUGAUUCUAUCAUAGCAUCUAGAAGUAACAUUUGGUUGUCUAGAACACAAUUGAAUGAGCAAAUCUAAAUCCAAUAUUGUGAUCGGCUCGUUAUAAAUCAUCCAAGGAUCCUUCUUACAGAGAAAAACCUCACCAGGAAUAUCUUGAUCCAUACCAAAUUGCAUUGCGACACGAUGAUGGAAGUACUUCUCUUUACAUCCCAUACCAACCAACUCACAAACCCUCAAACAUCGAGAAAACGACUCUAACUCUUUAUCUAAACAAGGAUUACCACAUCUCCACAUAUCCUUUUCAUUAUAGACCUCAAUACAUGGUGAAUUCUCAUAUGGUUGCCACAAAAAUCCAUCUCCAAAACCUGCACAAUCCAUGACCUUUUUCAAGAUUUUAGUUUUCAUCAUUUCUACCCCAUCUAGCCACCUUUGGUAAACCGUGAUGCCCUUUGCCAUAAGGGCGUGGCUUCAAUGCUUGAAACCUCUCUAAGGCCCAAAUUUGAACCAAUUGAAAAGGUGCCCAAAUAGGUUCUCUAAAACUCUUUAUGGUUGUUGUGGCAUUUUCAUUAAUGGUGCUAUUAAGCAAAUUUAAGUCUCUAUAAAUACUAGCUAAAACAGCACGUGCUAGAAUUUAAGGAUCAGAAUGUACCAUGAAAGUGGCGUUGUCGAUGUUUCUGAAUUUAACCCGAAGUUGCAGUUAUUAACAUUCCAAACCCGAAAGGUGAGAGUUUGUUUUUAAUUCUUUUUUAACUAUAGUUUUUUUAAUUAUGCAAUCUUACUAGUUACUCGAUAAUUUACCUGAUAAUAGAUUCGUUAGAUGUGUCAAAAACUGAAAUCCGGAGAGAUAUUUUCAAUGGAUCGAGUUUAUAUCCAGAUUGUAAAGUCCAAAUGAUCCUAAUUUCAAAUAAUCUUGAAUUUGCAAAGACGCUCGGCUAUCUACGUCAUCGAGAUCGGGCACCUAUCCUCCGCACAGAGAUGACUCGUUCCUCUUAUUAUCUGCACGAUUUUGCGAGUACAGUAUAUAGGUGGAAAGAUUUUAUAUCUAGCCCCGCAAGCCUUCCUAAUUUGCCGAUGUUUGUAAGUAUUUCCGAUAUCUGCUCUUAUUUUUCCACUGUUUUGGUCUUUGAAACUUUUUAUAGGACUACUAUGGUUCACUGAUAUGUAAUCAGUUUAAUGAAAAGCUUAUGUCUUCACUAAAAAGCUUUGACUUCAGAUAGAAUGUCUUUAUGGGGUUGUCUUUUGGCCGGUGGUGUAGAAAGAGUGAGACUUGGAUCAUAUAACCCACAUUGAUUCCUAAAAAGUUCAAUUAGUUGUUAGACAUAAUUAAUUGAUUAUGAUUAAAUGAAAAUUUUAUGAGCCAGGCGGGAUAGAUAUCUUACAGAAGUUUCCAUUGAAACAUCCUUAUCUUCUUCAAUCAUAUUGAGAGACAGAACUUCCUUAAAUGCAGAUGAAUAUAUUAAAACUAGUGUGAGACCCGUGUCGAUGCCACGGGCUUAUAAAUAAUUGUAGCGGUCGUCAAUUAAUCAAACAAUACAACUAAAAAUAUGAAUAUGAAUCAAAAGUCUACCUAAUAAAUAUGAACAAAAGAAAAAGGUUUGCAAAUCCAAAAAUUUAUUUAAAAUAAAACGAUUCCGUAAAUCAGGUGACGACUCAGUGCAGUUUUAAAACAAAAUAGAGGGAAAGAAAUAUUUCAAACAAAAAAAUUCAAGCAUUGUAACAUAGAAAAAAAAUUCAUGCACUAUAUUGUUUAUAAAUAAAAUUACCUUUUGAUGUUAUAUACUAAAUUGUGAUGCCCUUGCACGGGUUACAGUUAAUUGCGAUCUUCAUUCAUCAUUUAGUCAAUUAAUAUCACUAAACAGUAGAAAUAUUUUUUUCCAAACGAUUAAAAAAUAGAUCAAAUGAAAUAUGACACAAACAUUAAAUCAAAGAGGUUGAAAAAAUAAACAUUUAGAUUCAUUCAGACAAACAAAAUCAUUCAAUCACAUACAAUUUUAAAAAAAAAAAUGUAUGGAGAAGAAUUACAAAGAGCAAAACGCAAGGAACAAAGUUAUAUACCAUCAAUUUAUCGGUGAAUAAACAUAUCUUACAAUUUUAGAAAUUGUUUUAGUGAUAUAAGUUAUAGAUUCGAAAUUGUCCUCUUGAGCUUAGCUGAGUUAGUAAAGAGAAUGCAUAAAAUAUGCAAGGUACUCUGUUCAAAUCCCGGCCACCAUAAAAAAAGUAAUAGAUUAGAAAUUGUUUUUUGCUCAAAAAAAUAAUUGAAAUUGUUUCAUUAAUUUAAUAAUAAAAAUACAAUAUUAGACUUAUUACUAUUUGCACACCUGUUUUAGACAUACAUUCAUCACCGCACUAUCCAGAACUGGGCUGAGCCCAAUAACCUGUUGGCUUAUUUCCUCUACCUCCACAUUUCAUUCAUCCAGAAACCCUAAAACCACGUUCUUCAUUCUCUCCCUCCCUCCCAUGAGCGCCGCUGCCAUCCUCUGCACCACAUGCACCGUCGAGCUCAGCCUCCUUUGGCCUAAAUAACCUCAUUUUUUUUCAUCUUCUCAACUCUCUAUACCUUAACAUACAUACAGAAUCAUGAAAAGAGCAAAGUACAACAAUGGGUACUUUAAUUUGACAGAGAUUUCAAGCAAACUCCGGCCUAGUUUGAACAAUGGAGAAACAUAUUCUUCCUGCUUUCCUUCUCCCGUUCAAUUUUUUUGUGUAAGUUUCCUUUGUUCUGUAUAUUCUCCUGAAAGUCCUAAUUUUUCUGAAACCAUAAUAUUUUUUACUUCGAAAUUCAUCGUAUAAUUUAUCUAUGGGUUAGAUUUAUUUAUCGCUUAAUUUGAUUUUUGAACAAGGUUAUGUUUUUUUUCACAUAUCCCCCAUUUCUAUUUUGAACAUAUACUUCCUCUCAUUAUUAGAAUACCAUUUUUGUUGAUACAUAAGAUUAUUGUUGGGUUUCGGGUUAAGGGUUUAGGGUAAGUUCUCUUUCCUCAUCUAGAUGGACCUUUUCUCUUUCCUCUUAUACUCUUCAUAUUUUCAUUUCAUGUGAUACCAAUAAUAAUAAUAAUAAUAAUAAUAAAUUCCUGAAAGGAACAGUAUGAAAGGUUUUAACUUUAUGGACAUGGCAAGGGUUAGGAAAUGAUGGAUAUGCAAGUGAAUAAGAUGGCAAGACUUUAAAUACCACUACCUGUAAGAAUAAUUAAAUUGUUAAUAUUUAGGCUUUAUUUGGGGAAGGUAAGGGAAUUGAAAUACAAUGAAUACUUUUGUUUUUAAGGCGAAGGUUGAACUUGAUAUUGGGAAGGCUUUAUAUGCCUGACCUACAUGGUAGCUUUUUGUUUUUUCUUCCCACAUUUAAAGGCUUCUUCUGCUAUAGCCGUUUUUUUCUUGCUGCCAUAUCUGACAUAAAAUUUUGCCUUUUUCAAACUAUAUUUGAUCCCUUAGCUAAAUUUUUUUACAAAAUUUGUCCAAUUGUAUAUCUAAAUUGUCUUAAAAUUAUGAAGACAAAUAGUAACAUAAGGUUAUCAAAGUUCAAGAGGGCGUGCAUCUUUGUUGAAGUUGUCAUAGCAAGAAGAGUAGCCAUUGAACUUGAAAAUGAAUUUGGUAUAUAUUAAUAAUUCAAUAUUCUUGAAUUUUUUUUAAUCUGUUUUUUGUGGAUGAGGUGGAAAUGGUUAAACUUUAUGAUAUGGUAUAUAUUAAUAAUUCAAUAUUCUGUUUUUUAAUCUGUUUUUUCAUAACAUGUUUGUUAUUUGAAACUUUGUCUUUCUCUAUUUCUUGGAGUUAGUAUCUAGCAACUAUUUGAUUCAAAAGACGUGAUUUUUUUUUUGUUAAGGAUGAGUAGUUUUACUCACAUAUUUUUAAUGUUAAAUCUAUCCCUUUUUUUCUUUUACAUAAUGUAUCAAAGUUUUAGGUUGUUUGUGGUGAUCCCUUUUUUUUUUUUUUUUUUUUUCCUUGGUUAAUUCAACCCUUCUAACUCAACUGUUUUUUAGAUAUCUAUGGUCUUUAACCAUUUAUCAUUUCAAACCUUUUAGGCUUUAAAAUAAAAUACUCUUUUUUGCAUUAAUAUGUGCAUCUAAGUUGUACAUGAUCAAACUUGUGCGUUAAUAGUAUACUCCCUAUACCUUGACACACGGUUCUUUCUUUGGGAGCAAGGUAGACAAACUCGAGAUCCUAAGUAAGAUCGGGUAGGACCCAUGAGAUCGUGAAUCGGGGGAUCCUAACAUGGAUCGUAAGAUCCUACCAAAUUAUGAAGCACCAUAAUUUAAUAGGAAAAAAAAACUUUAAAUAAAACUCAAAUUCAUUUCAUUUAAUAGAAAAGGAAAAAAAACAGUACUCAUACAUGAUAACCCGACCCGACAAACCCGGAUUUUUGGAAAACGAAAAACUAACCGGGCCGCGAAGCCGGUUUCUGGGUUUUCAACCUAACGCGGCUGGAUCUACGUUACCACCGCUUCCACGUUUUUGCGCGGCGAUCCAAGCCGUUCUUACCAAUUUCCGAUUCCGGCCACUUGUGAGCACGAAGAGGCCUGGCAAGAUCGUGGAACCGUACGAUUCUACGGUCCAGAUCGCGAGUUUGUCUACCUUGUUUGGGAGGCCAUCUAUUUUUUUUCCCUUAAAUGCUGGGUUAUUUUUUUGUGAUGGCAAGCCUGCUGUCCUAUUUUGUUCUUAUUUUUGUAUGGAUCUUUUUUGCUUGGCUUGUGCUUUUGGUGUUUGUAACUUUGUAUUAUAACUAAGUUGCAUCCAAAUAAACUAUGAAACCAUGAGAAAGUGGUAUUUAUUAGUAACAACUUUGUAUUUAUUAUUCGUUAGUUUUGAAAGUUAAAUUUAGAGGCUGAAAAAGUGUUAUUUAUUAUUGGUACACAAGCACUUAAAAAAGAAAAUAGAGAGCAAAUUGAUUGAUGUAAAAAAUAUCAAGUGCCUUAGGUAAGUUUCAAGUAUGAUGGUGAAGUCUAAAUGUAAAUAAUAUGAAGAUACUCUAAACUAUAGAAAUAUACAUAUUAGUGUAAGUAAAAAUACGAAGAUUACAUCUUAUGCCUGAUAUUUUCUUAAACUACACAAAUCUGCAGGUGAUUUUGACAUGCUUGCUUGGCUCUAUCCAAACACUUUGAGAUACUGUGGGAUGAAGGAGCAGUCAAAGUGUCCCAUGAGGACUUGUUUACAUGCUUGGUUGCUGCUGUCGAAAUACACAUUAUCGCUGUAAGUAAAAGUAAAUGAAAACAAACAAUUGUGUAAGCUGUUUCUGAUUUGAAGAAAGUUCAAUAUUUUUAGUUUGCAACGGGUUUCUUAUUGUUUUGUACAGAACAGCAUUUGUAUGUCAUGUUUUUUCAUUUAAUAAUAUUUGUAAACACUCACAAACACACAUAUUUAGCCUUAUAACCCUAUUUUGUACUAAGAAUGUUAUGAAUGAUGAGACUUUGCAUAAGACAAUAAAGGUUUAAAAGUAUAAUUAUAAAUAUAAAUGUUAUGAAUAAAAUAGAUGUAGCUGUCAAUGUAGAAAUGAUGGUAGAAUGUUCUCUUAGGCCAUUUGGUUAUGUGAGGGGAGGAAACCUGUAGAAAUUAAAGGAGUAAGAGUUAAUAUGUGCGAGCAUUGUGUUCAGCAUAAAUAACUUUUUAUUAAGGGCUUCAUCAAGAUGCUAUACCUUAAACUUGUUUAUUUAGAAAAGAUCUAUCAUUUGCUUUCAUAUUAUGGGCUUCUAGCUGAAAAAAUGAAGAGGAUAAUAGAAACUUAAUGAGUACCAUGAAAAGAUAUAUCCCUUAAAUUUUAUGAAAACCUAUAAUUUGGUGAAAUAUUCUUAUUAUUGUAUUCUUUUGGAAUGCCUUCAUACCGCUGGUGUGGUUCCUUCAAGAAUUCGUUGAUUUGGUUGUAGAAACCUAUGGAAGGUAGAUAAAGAAGAGGCAAAAAGAUGCAUGUUGAAUAUACAAAUGGAGAAUGACAAAAAGAUAUCCAUGUACUUACACAUAUCUUGUUAAAAAGAGUGCAUACCAAUGAGAUCAGCUUUUUGUUUUAUCAUCUAAUAUACCACCUGCAUCAUCAAUUGGAGAGUAUGUUUAUGUAAGUUUAUCAAACAUCAUGAAAAUGUAUUACAAUACAAUCAUUAAGGAAAAAGAAGCAGAAACUUACUUUGCUAGAAAAAUGUAUGAAGGAUUUUUGGCAUGAUAGAGAUGAAUGAAUGAGAUGGGAAGGCAAUGGUUUAAAUACACUUGAGGAAAGGGAAAGGGGGAGAGGAGCGUGAGAGAGAGAAAGGGGGAGGAAGAUUAAGUAAUAAAGAAAUAAGGAGCUUGGCGCCCAAGAAAGCUUAAAUGCUGCACUGCACACCUGCACUGUACAACACUGCACACCUGCACUGCAGUGACACCUUGGCUGCUUUUUUUGAUAUAUUGCCACCAUUGAAAUGACCAGCAGAGUUUGGAGAAGAGCCCAAUUCACUGGUAGUGUAUCGCACGGUAAUAUCGGAGACUUCUCUACUGUAAGAUUUAUAGAUGGCACAUUGCAUUAAUACUCCUAAACUUUUCAAGAUUUAUUGACAGUGCUUACAUUUAACUUAUACAUUGUGUUUUUAACUCUACAACUUUUGUGUCCCAAGGGAGAGAUGAUGCAUGGAAAAGCAAAAAUGAAUUUGCUCUUUCACUUGCUUGAAAUUCUUCAUAGUGAAGAGUUGGUGGCAACAGAAGAUAAUAUUGAAAGUGUUUGAGUGGAAAUUGUUGAGUGGAAAUUGUUGUCUGAUACUUCCAUUUAUCAACUUCCAUUUAUCCUGCAAUGUGUACUUCCUGCUAACCAAUAAAGUUUGUCUUUUUCCCCUGUGAUCGUUUUGUUUGGCAUUCACUCAAAUACCCCUCGGCAGUUAACUGCCGAAAUUUUAGAAAUACGGCUGCAGUUAACUGCCGAGGGGUAUUUGAGUAAUUUACUCGCGUGGCACAGCCAAACCAAAAGUGGGAACAACAAUUCUCCAAGAAUAUUCAAUUCAAAGUUGCAGAAUCAACGAAACAGGGUUUAUGGUUUUUCUGUCUCUCUUCGACUUUAACUCCAAAUAAUCACUUUCAUGGCACCAAUGCUUCACUACCAAACCAACUUAUGUAAAUAAGCCCUUUUUCCUAUUCACCCUUUUCGCUACUUCUUCAACCUAAAACGGAACCUUUCUCACACUAUAAAGCUGGGGUAUUAUUGGGUUUGUUUUCAGCCAUGCGGGUCUCUUCUCAGAGUACCGCUUUUAGGUCAACUUUUUAUUGCCCCUCUUGUUUCUCUUUUUCUUCUUCUUCUUCUUCCAGACCCUUUCGUUCUUCUCUCUCUUCUUUAGGUUUUUUUGCUAACUAUGGUUCAUCUCAACACAGGUUUGUUCUUUCUUAAUUCAAAGUUCUUGUCUUUUUUAUAUUUGGUCUUGUUUUUAGGUUGGCCCAUGUGCUAAUAUUGCUUCUUAAGUUGAGGAAUUUUAUGUGUUGUGUUUUGAGUUUGGUGGAAUUUUUACUUGUUUUUGGAUUAUUUGUUUGUAAUGUGUGCACACUAUGUUUGUUGUUUUGUUUUGUUUUGUUUGUUACUAAAGCACGGACACUUCAAAUUGAAGGCACACAUGUGUCUGACACCAACGUGUGUGUCCGACACCGUACAACACAUGUGAUCACAUUCAAUUAUGUCAUUUUCUCAAAUUAUUAACAAUGUUUCUCAAAUUAUUAACAAUGUUAGACGGUGUGACUCGUGAGUGACAAUGUCGCGUCCGGUGUCACUGUCUGCUUCAUAGAUUGUUCUAUUAAUAAUAUUUUUGAAUGAAAUAUCCUGUUCUCUACUAGCUUGGCUGAACUUUUGAUCCCCGCCUCAAAUAUAAGGAAAUAAAAGUCAAACUAAGUAGAUGUUGCUUGGUCGAAUUUCUUUUGCUUAUAUUUGAGACCGGAGUACUCAACAAUGCAUUCGUAAAGAUGAAGUUUGUAAUAGAAGUUUGGUUUUGUUUCUUCUUUCCUGCAUUUUGUGAAACUGUUUCUGAAGUGGGGAGAGGGUGUGAGGAUGGUAUUCAGCUUUGAAGCACAAAUGUGGAUACCAACACUGACACCGAUAAUAAUUUUAGAAAAUAGAAGUGAUUGUAUGUAAUUAUUAGUGUCAGUAUCGUGUCGAUGUAGUACACACCUUCAAUUGGAACUGUAGGGGCUACAUAGGUAUUGAGUAAAUGUGUAUAGAGUUUGAUUUGAUAGUAAAAGUGAACAGGAACUGUGUAGGAAGUUUGUUUGUGGUGUGUUCAGAUAAAAAUCUAUAAAGCUUUUGCUCAUUGUAUUUUUAGGGGUUUUCUCAUAUGGUUGUCUUUCUAACUAUAAAAUCGUAAAUGUUCAGUUUAUGGACUGUUCUGGUGUUGUGAAGGCUUGAACAGUACUUUUUUAUUUUAAACACCGGUAAAUUUUUUGUCACGUGAUUGAAAGGUCACGGAUGCAAGUCCUGGAAAUAGCCUCUUGUGUAAAAAUCAAGGUAAGGUUGCGUACAAUACACCUAUUGGUGGGACCCUUUCCCAGACUUUGUGUAUGCAUGAGCUUUAGUGCACCGGGCUGCCAAAUGCCAAAUACAAAUUUGAGUGAAAAUAAAAAUAAAAACUCAAGGGUUUAUAGAAAUGGUUACCUCGCACGAGGUGUAACCGCUGGAAUUUUACAUCGCUUAAUGAUUUCUAGUAGCUUGAUGUUUAUGUUAAAGUUUGAUUUUAAAUUUGUUAGUUUGCUUAACUUUUAUCCAUUGUUUUAAAAAUGAAUAUUAACAAUUCAACAUUGAAUAUCUAGAAGCAAGUCAUAAGGUUUAAACCAUGAAGUGGUAUGUAAAUGACUUUACUGAAAUUCUUCUAUAGUCUUCUUCUUCCUCCUUUUCUUCUGUAAAUUUUGUUAUUUAUAUUGGAAAUCAAUAUUUUGUAUUACUCAUGAAAAAGCGUGCAUGUUAAAAUUGGUUUGCAUUGGAUGUUGACUUUUUGCUGUGUACAAGUCCUUGUUUCUCGUUAAAAGGUUGAGACUGGAGUAAUUAAAAAGAACUUCACAUAUACUAAUGAAGUAUUUAUAUUUUAAUUGGUUUCAUAGAUGCUAAGAAGCCCAAAGAAAAAAUUAUAAAAUACCCAGCU